RNAcentral lists this unclassified non-coding RNA (289 nucleotides) under Hevea brasiliensis (rubber tree). The record is from RNAcentral. Lineage: Eukaryota; Viridiplantae; Streptophyta; Magnoliopsida; Malpighiales; Euphorbiaceae.
AAAGACUUUCAUAUACCUUUUUAGCAGCCUGAAUGGCUCCACGUGAUUCCUCAAGUUCAGCAUAAGCAUAUCUCAGCAUCUCCGAGUCAGGAAGUGCUUUCAAAGCUCGCUGGAAAACCUUGAUAGCGGAGUCUACUGAACCAGCUUUUGCAUGCCAUGUGGCAUAUUCAUACCAUAUAUCAGGAUAAUGAUACAAGAACAUGAGGCACUGCUCAUAUGUGAACACAAUUCUUUUAUUAGCAGAAGCACUGUCUAUCCUCUGUGGGUUUGCCUUUUCAAAGGCUAGAAG